CUCCAUCGGCCGCAUGGCCGACACCCUCAACGAGAUCGUCCUCCUCGAUGACGGCCUCGCCGCUUGCGGACCGCCCGAGGUCGGCCUCCUCCGCCGCGGAUGAGGAGGAUGAGGGAGAAGACGAAAAUGACGAAGGGCAAAAUGGUUAUUUUGUCACGCCAUACCUCCCUCUGAAUAUUUUUUAUUUUACAAUGGGGCAAAGUAUAGGUUUUAAAUGACGGGGGGAAAGUGAAAAAGCGGAUUUUGACAGGAGAAUUUUCUGUAAUUUAGCCUAAAUAGAAAGAUAGCAUGUGCUAUCUAGUUUUCCACUAUUAAAUUUAUCUCUUUGAUUAUUUUUACCCGUUAGAUUAUACUGUUCAACCAACUACCCACUCUUAACCCACAUCAUCAUAAUUGUACAUUUUUCAAUUCAAAAACUAAAAAAUUAAUAGCACCAAAAUAAUUUGGUGUUAUUGAUAGUAUUCCAGCCCAGUACUAUAUAUAUAUAUAUAUAUAAAGAGAGAGAGAGAGAGAGAGAGAGAGAGAGAGAGAGAGAACUGGGCUGGAAUACUAUUAAUAGUACCAAAUUGUUGGUGCUAUUGAAUUUUUAGUCAUUGGAUUGAGAAAUAUACGGUUAGGAUGAUGUGGGUCCUCUAGGGUUGAGUGGGUGGUUGGUUGAAUAGUAUAAUUUAACGGAUAAAAAUAAUCAAAGAAAUUAAUCUAACGACAAAAAAUUUGAUAGCACCAAGUGCUUGGUGCUAUCGAUAGCAUAGUAGCUGAAUUCUCUCUCUCUCUCUCUCU
RNAcentral lists this long non-coding RNA (780 nucleotides) under Ananas comosus (pineapple). RNAcentral's name for it is "long non-coding RNA (ACOM_LNC041080)". Lineage: Eukaryota; Viridiplantae; Streptophyta; Magnoliopsida; Poales; Bromeliaceae. The record is from RNAcentral.